This 253-nucleotide ribosomal RNA is filed under the name uncultured bacterium. Its description in RNAcentral is "partial 16S ribosomal RNA". It matches the Rfam family "Bacterial small subunit ribosomal RNA", at positions 524 to 776 of the family's 1533-position model. The record is from RNAcentral.
UACGUAGGUGGCAAGCGUUGUCCGGAUUUAUUGGGUUUAAAGGGUGCGUAGGCGGUCCUAUAAGUCAGUUGUGAAAUACGGCAGCUUAACUGUCGAGGUGCAAUUGAUACUGCAGGACUUGAGUACAGACGAGGUAGGCGGAAUUGACGGUGUAGCGGUGAAAUGCUUAGAUAUCGUCAAGAACACCGAUAGCGGAGGCAGCUUACUAGACUGUAACUGACGCUGAUGCACGAAAGUGUGGGGAUCAAACAGG